RNAcentral lists this ribosomal RNA (469 nucleotides) under uncultured bacterium. RNAcentral's name for it is "partial 16S ribosomal RNA". It matches the Rfam family "Bacterial small subunit ribosomal RNA", at positions 28 to 507 of the family's 1533-position model. The record is from RNAcentral.
GACGAACGCUGGCGGCGUGCUUAACACAUGCAAGUCGAACGGAAAGGCCCUGCUUGCAGGGUGCUCGAGUGGCGAACGGGUGAGUAACACGUGGGUGAUCUGCCCCUUACUUUGGGAUAAGCCUGGGAAACUGGGUCUAGUACUGGAUAGGACCAUGCUGUAGGUGGUGUGGUGGAAAGAUUGGUUUCGGUAAGGGAUGAGCUCGCGGCCUAUCAGCUUGUUGGUGGGGUAAUGGCCUACCAAGGCGUCGACGGGUAGCCGGCCUGAGAGGGUGGACGGCCACAUUGGGACUGAGAUACGGCCCAGACUCCUACGGGAGGCAGCAGUGGGGAAUAUUGCACAAUGGGCGCAAGCCUGAUGCAGCGACGCCGCGUGGGGGAUGACGGCCUUCGGGUUGUAAACUCCUUUCAGCCAUGACGAAGCCCUUGUGGUGACGGUAGUGGUAGAAGAAGCACCGGCUAACUACGUG